RNAcentral lists this ribosomal RNA (460 nucleotides) under uncultured bacterium. RNAcentral's name for it is "partial 16S ribosomal RNA". It matches the Rfam family "Bacterial small subunit ribosomal RNA", at positions 338 to 795 of the family's 1533-position model. The record is from RNAcentral.
CCUACGGGUGGCAGCAGUGAGGAAUAUUGGUCAAUGGGCGCGAGCCUGAACCAGCCAAGUCGCGUGAGGGAAGACGGUCCUAUGGAUUGUAAACCUCUUUUGUCGGGGAGCAAAAGACGCCACGCGUGGCGUUCCGAGAGUACCCGAAGAAAAAGCAUCGGCUAACUCCGUGCCAGCAGCCGCGGUAAUACGGAGGGUGCGAGCGUUAAUCGGAAUUACUGGGCGUAAAGCGCUCGUAGGCGGUAUGUCAAGUCAAGGGUGAAAUCCCCGCGCUCAACGUGGGAACUGCCUUUGAAACUGGCAAACUGGAGUGUGUGAGAGGAUAGUGGAAUUCCAGGUGUAGGAGUGAAAUCCGUAGAUAUCUGGAGGAACAUCAGUGGCGAAGGCGACUAUCUGGCACAUAACUGACGCUGAGGAGCGAAAGCGUGGGUAGCAAACAGGAUUAGAUACCCCAGUAGUC